CAGCCACCCAGCACCAGUCUCUGCGAUGGUGAGCUCACGGGUCACUCUCAUUACUGUCAUGUGUCUGGUGUACUCCAGUCAGAAAAGGAUCUCUGGAGCAGAAGUGGAGAGGAGAGUCAGACGAGGAGAAUGCAUCAUCCUCUACAGCAACUGUGAAAUACCUGCUAGGUCAAAUACUAAAUGGUUUAGGAGCAGUUCAUCUGAACGUCAUUCUGCUGUUGAUUUACUGACUGAUAAGGAAACUUGCUGCUCUGCUGUGUGGAAUGCCUCCAGUAAGACUCAAGAUCUGCUGAUUCAGGAUGUCAAUGAAUCAGACCAGGGCAGUUACAUGCAUAUGCAUCAAAUAAUCAGUAUUUCCUAAUGAGCAUUACUGACAACAUUAUGGCUUUAAUAUUGAUUUUCUCCAGUGUUCCAGGGUGGAUCUGUAAUGUGACUGACUGAUUCUUUUCCUUCAUUGAUAAUAGAAAAAGAAACUGGUCAGAGAUGGAUGUACAAAAAACAGAGCUAGAAACAACAAAAUACUGAUGAGGCUGGAGGAGGUGAGGUUUGUUACGCCUCAGUGCACUUCUCAAAGGGAGAACACAAACACCCCAAGAAGACGAGAGUUCAGAACUUUGAUUUCAGUUCUUAUUCUGAGGUCAGAAUUGAAAAAUUCUGAAACUCAGGAAGUUGAGGUGUUUUGUGGACUGCAGUCAUCAGAGAGAGAGAGAGUUGAUGCACUUAUGCUUCAUUUAUGAACUCAGUGUGAACUGAUUUCAUGUAGUAAUUCCACUUCCAUAA
This is a non-coding RNA of Electrophorus electricus (electric eel), 780 nucleotides long. The record is from RefSeq and is a predicted model, not a curated record. Lineage: Eukaryota; Metazoa; Chordata; Actinopteri; Gymnotiformes; Gymnotidae.